AGCAGCCGCGGUAAUUCCAGCUCCAAUAGCGUAUAUUAAAGUUGUUGCAGUUAAAAAGCUCGUAGUUGAAUUUCGGGGUCAAUUAAUUGGUCGUGCCUCUGGUACGUACUGAUUUUAUUGGUUUCUCCCUUCUGACGAACCAUGAUGUCAUUAAUUUGGUGUCGUGGAGAAUCAGGACUGUUACUUUGAAAAAAUUAGAGUGUUUAAAGCAAGCUAACGCUUGAAUACAUUAGCAUGGAAUAAUGAAAUAGGACGUUUGAUCCUAUUUUGUUGGUUUCUAGGAUCGACGUAAUGAUUAAUAGGGAUAGUUGGGGGCAUUAGUAUUCAAUUGUCAGAGGUGAAAUUCUUGGAUUUAUUGAAGACUAACUACUGCGAAAGCAUUUGCCAAGGAUGUUUUCAUUAAUCAAGAACGAAAGUUAGGGGAUCGAAGACGAUCAGAUACCGUCGUAGUCUUAACCAUAAACUAUGCCGACUAGGGAUCGGAUGAUGUUAAUUUUUAAUGACUCAUUCGGCGCCUUAA
RNAcentral lists this unclassified non-coding RNA (520 nucleotides) under uncultured Glomus. RNAcentral describes it as "SSU rRNA". It matches the Rfam family "Eukaryotic small subunit ribosomal RNA", at positions 569 to 1091 of the family's 1831-position model. Lineage: Eukaryota; Fungi; Glomeromycota; Glomeromycetes; Glomerales; Glomeraceae. The record is from RNAcentral.